Echinops telfairi (small Madagascar hedgehog) is the source of this 447-nucleotide long non-coding RNA. RefSeq lists it as uncharacterized. The record is from RefSeq and is a predicted model, not a curated record. The transcript has 3 exons. Lineage: Eukaryota; Metazoa; Chordata; Mammalia; Afrosoricida; Tenrecidae.
GCUGGCUGGUCGCUGUGGGUUUAGGACUGGACUCCACGGUCUCAGCUCUGCUUUCCAGUGUUCGGGACCCUGGAGACGUUUGCUUUGUAUUUCCCCACAUUGGAAGGUGGAACUUCCUUUUGAAACAGCAUUCUAUUGUGAAUUGAGCGAAGGUUUUACGGAGCCGAUCAGUUUUCCACUCAACAAUCCAUGCACAUUUUGUCUCUCGUCACAGAAUGCAGUCUCCACAAAGAAGUAGAAAAUGACGGCGUGAUGCAAUAGACGUUUCUUUCCAGAAUGAAUUGUGCUAACAGAAGUAACUGGCACCACGUUCGGCACACUUGACCCAAAGCCAGCUGGUGACCAAGGUCAUGCCCAAGAAUAUUUAGAGAGUUUCAAAAAGGCAACCAAGAGUGGCAGAGCAGGGACUCAGAAUAUCCAUCGGCCAGCUGCCUCUCACCAGCUCCG